GACGAACGCUGGCGGCGUGCCUAAUGCAUGCAAGUAGAACGCUGAAGGAGGAGCUUGCUUCUCUGGAUGAGUUGCGAACGGGUGAGUAACGCGUAGGUAACCUGCCUGGUAGUGGGGGAUAACUAUUGGAAACGAUAGCUAAUACCGCAUAAUAGCAGUUGUUGCAUGAUAACUGUUUGAAAGGUGCAAUUGCACCGCUACCAGAUGGACCUGCGUUGUAUUAGCUAGUUGGUGGGGUAACGGCUCACCAAGGCGACGAUACAUAGCCGACCUGAGAGGGUGAUCGGCCACACUGGGACUGAGACACGGCCCAGACUCCUACGGGAGGCAGCAGUAGGGAAUCUUCGGCAAUGGACGGAAGUCUGACCGAGCAACGCCGCGUGAGUGAAGAAGGUUUUCGGAUCGUAAAGCUCUGUUGUAAGAGAAGAACGAGUGUGAGAGUGGAAAGUUCACACUGUGACGGUAUCUUACCAGAAAGGGACGGCUAACUACGUG
Molecule: ribosomal RNA, 495 nt
Filed under: uncultured bacterium
Lineage: Bacteria
Description: partial 16S ribosomal RNA
Rfam family: Bacterial small subunit ribosomal RNA
Source: RNAcentral